RNAcentral lists this ribosomal RNA (332 nucleotides) under uncultured bacterium. RNAcentral's name for it is "bacterial SSU rRNA". It matches the Rfam family "Bacterial small subunit ribosomal RNA", at positions 568 to 898 of the family's 1533-position model. The record is from RNAcentral.
CGCGUAGGCGGGAUGGCAAGUCGGUCGUGAAAUCCCUCGGCUCAACCGAGGAGCGUCGAUCGAAACUGCCGUUCUUGAGGGUUGCAGAGGAGACUGGAAUUCCCGGUGUAGCGGUGAAAUGUGUAGAGAUCGGGAGGAACACCGGUGGCGAAGGCGGGUCUCUGGGCAAUUCCUGACGCUGAGGCGCGAAAGCGUGGGGAGCAAACGGGAUUAGAUACCCCGGUAGUCCACGCUGUAAACGAUGACGACUAGGUGUGGGGGGGUUCAGUCCCUUCCGUGCCGCAGCUAACGCAUUAAGUCGUCCGCCUGGGGAGUACGGCCGCAAGGUUGAA